UGGGGAAUAUUGCACAAUGGGCGCAAGCCUGAUGCAGCCAUGCCGCGUGUGUGAAGAAGGCCUUCGGGUUGUAAAGCACUUUCAGCGAGGAGGAAGGGUAGUGUGUUAAUAGCACAUUGCAUUGACGUUACUCGCAGAAGAAGCACCGGCUAACUCCGUGCCAGCAGCCGCGGUAAUACGGAAGGUGCAAGCGUUAAUCGGAAUUACUGGGCGUAAAGCGCACGCAGGCGGUUUGUUAAGUCAGAUGUGAAAUCCCCGCGCUUAACGUGGGAACUGCAUUUGAAACUGGCAAGCUAGAGUCUUGUAGAGGGGGGUAGAAUUCCAGGUGUAGCGGUGAAAUGCGUAGAGAUCUGGAGGAAUACCGGUGGCGAAGGCGGCCCCCUGGACAAAGACUGACGCUCAGGUGCGAAAGCGUGGGGAGCAAACA
This 427-nucleotide ribosomal RNA is filed under the name uncultured bacterium. Its description in RNAcentral is "partial 16S ribosomal RNA". It matches the Rfam family "Bacterial small subunit ribosomal RNA", at positions 355 to 774 of the family's 1533-position model. The record is from RNAcentral.